RNA transcript from Chenopodium quinoa (quinoa), 2248 nucleotides. It is a transcript of the gene named ribosomal RNA small subunit methyltransferase H-like, with no coding region annotated. The record is from RefSeq and is a predicted model, not a curated record. NCBI's taxonomy places the organism in Eukaryota, Viridiplantae, Streptophyta, Magnoliopsida, Caryophyllales, Amaranthaceae. The transcript is spliced from 6 exons.
CUGAUAUACUGAUUAUGUUCAGAAAUCUUGGAGAGAAAAAACAGUGUCAAAAAUGGCAAGAGCAGCAGUCUCAGCAUCCCUAAAACUCUUCUCUCUCAAAUUAUCUUCUCAAUCUCUCUCCUCCAUUCCCACUUCCCUCUCCUUCACCACUUUCCAUGCUCCUUCUUCCUCCCAGAAGAAGAAGCAGGAAAGGAGGAGAGAGAUUGAGAAGAACAAGAAGAAGACGGCAGCCUCUUCGCCGUCUUCUUCUUCCGCCAUUGUUGUAGCUUCAAGCUCAUCGAAAUCGAAGUCGAAAGCGGCUUUGGCUUUCGUGAAGAGGAGGACGAGGUCUGAGAGGGAAUUCGAUGAGGAGUAUAUGAAGAAAUACGGGGAUGAAGAUAGUCAUAUUCCUGUUAUGCUUGGUGAGGUUAUGGAUGUGUUUGAUUCUUCUUCGUCUUCGUUUCGCCUUCGUUCGUUUGUUGAUUGUACCCUUGGUGCUGCUGGUCAUUCUUGCGCUAUAAUUCAAGCUCAUCCUGAACUGCAAACAUACAUUGGAUUAGAUGUUGAUCCUGUGGCCCAUGAGGAGGCUCAAUCUCGAAUCAAUAAUAUGCUGAACAGCACGCCUGCUUGUUCAAGUACCAAUCUGAAAGCUCAUAUGCUUUUGAAGAACUUCAAAGAAAUCAAACAAGCAAUUGGUCAGGUUGAUGAAAAGCUUUUACUCUCUGGAGUUGAUGGGAUUUUGAUGGACUUAGGGAUGUCUUCCAUGCAGGUUGAUGAUCCUAGAAGAGGAUUCAGCAUGCUUAACAAUGGGCCACUUGACAUGCGAAUGGAUCCUAAGGGUAGUUUAAAAGCAGAGGAUAUACUCAAUUCUUGGCCACCAACUGAAGUUGGGAAAAUCCUUCAGGAGUAUGGAGAAGAAAGUAACUGGUAUUCUCUCCAGAACAAGAUUGUCAAGGCUCGUCUAGGUGGCGGAUUUCAUACAACUGGUGAUUUGGUGGAUCUUAUUCGCGGCUCUACAUCUAGGGUGAAAGGAGGUAGGCAGGGUUGGAUAAAGACUGCUGCACGGGUUUUCCAAGCGUUAAGGAUAGCAGUUAAUGAUGAACUCAAAACCUUGGAAAAUUCUCUUUACAAUUGCUUUGAUUGCCUUAGUCCUGGUGGCAGGCUCGCAGUCAUAUCUUUCCACAGUUUGGAAGACAGGAUUGUAAAACAGACUUUCCUCAACAUCAUCAAUAACAUUCCGAGAAAAGAUGACACUAUUAUAGAAGAGGGAGGGUUUGGAGCUGAACCAAAAGAGUUCAACUAUUAUCCCGGCGAAAAGGAAGUUUGGAUUAAACAAGUAGUUAAAGGCUCUUCUGGGGUAAUCCUCACUAAGAGACCUAUAACAGCAACUCCUAAGGAAGAGAAAUUAAACUCGAGAUGUAGGAGUGCAAAGCUCCGAGUGAUUCAGAAGAUGUAGGAGAAAGUUCAGAUAUUAAUCAACUUUAGUCUGUGGAGGGAGAAAUUUUGCUAGAAUUAUAUGAACAGUAUUAAGGCCUUAAGGGACAGCACAGCUUUUCAUAAACGCCUCGCUGUACAUACAUCAGGACAGUGCAUAGCGUGCACGUGUCCAUGUCCGUGUCUGUGUCCUGUGCUCGCAGGGAUGCGUCUCUUGCAUAUGCCACCCGGAAAGCCUCCAGGUGUACUUUUCUUCAGGUAUAGAGUUGAUGAUCAACAAGGUAACAAGUAUGACUACUUGCAAAACUGUUGAAGGGUCAAAUCAACGCAUGCAAACUAAACACUUAGCUCAGCGCCUCAGCCACUAGAAGGCGGCUUAGACGAAUGCUGUUAUUUUGUUUUGUUGUUAAAAAGAUGGCGUGAUUGUUUUACUAGUCCGCAAGUAUAUUAAGGGGUAGGUGCUUGGCGAUAUGGGGUAGAAUGCAAUGAUAUCCAUGCCGCUUUCCUACAUGAAAUUCGUUGGAAUUUCUCGCCUGCUUUAGUAAUCCUUUGCUUUGUCACAACUUAUGCCUUGUUGUAAUCUGAUUUUGUAACUAAGACCCUGUUUGAUUUAAUGUAAAAGGUUUUCAUGAAAAUAAAGUUUUCAUUUUUUUUCCAUUUUCCUUUGUUUGGUUUGUUAAGGGGCGGAAACAAUUUUUUUAAGGGUGGAAAAUUUCAUCCUUAAUAAUGGAAAACAUUUUCCUUCUCAAAACAAGGGAAGCUACAUUUUCCUCUCUCAUCCUUACCUCUUUUUUUACUUCCCUCUCAUCCAUCCUUACAUUUCCACUCUUAUUUU